Long non-coding RNA from Cynoglossus semilaevis (tongue sole), 379 nucleotides. RefSeq lists it as uncharacterized. The record is from RefSeq and is a predicted model, not a curated record. NCBI's taxonomy places the organism in Eukaryota, Metazoa, Chordata, Actinopteri, Pleuronectiformes, Cynoglossidae. The transcript has 3 exons.
AGGCACCGUCUAAUCUCUCCUCACCCACGUGUCCCUGGAACUGUUGUGUCCCAGGAACUGUUGUGUCCCUGGAACUGUUGUGUCCCUGGAACUGUUGUGUCCCCGGAACUGUUGUGUCCCAGGAACUGUUGUGUCCCUGGAACUGUUGUGUCCCUGCAUGGGCGAAAUCCUGAAGAGACUGUUGAAGGGCCACAGCAGGAGCAGGAGCUGGAGCUGGUCCUCAGAGGUCAACACAACGUGGGCUGCACCCCAGACGGUCUACUUACCGCCCAUGAGGAAGAGGAGACCGGCCACGUACUGCAUCAGACCCCGAUCCCAGCAGCAGCCAAGGACUCCGAUGAUCCAACCGAACAGGAUGAUGGCCACCGCCAUGCCCAUG